GAAGUUGAUUUUGGUGGGCAGUUGAUCAUGUGACAUCUGAUGCGUUAUUCAUGUGAUUGGCUCCCCAUAGUGCUAGGACUCUAUCGUACGCUGAAUAAAUGGCAGAUGAAAGGAUAGUUCCAUAUUUGUAUCUUUCCUAGAAAGGAAUGAAAGAGUUUUCUCUUCUCAAGUCUGUUGUCUCUCUUAUUUUCUGUUCUUGUGUCGCUUCUUCAAAUUCACGCAACAAAAUUCAACUUUAAUUCCUUAUCUUUGGCAAUGGUGACGAGAAGCUAAUCCUUUUCAUAUGCUGGAUUUGAAUGACACUCUCUGCCGGGAAAUAAGGCACUCAAACUAAUGAACUUUUUCUUACUGAUCAGUCACUCACUCUCCUUGGCUUAAUUCUAGUUACAGACUAUGUGGUUGUCCUGUCUGUUUAGAUAUCGACUGUUCACUGGGACCACCACCAGCCACCGUAAGAGGCAGCAGCAAAAGAACAAUCAUCAAAAUGUGGACAAACUGAUGUGCGUUUAUUUGCAAUUUAUACAACUAAAAUCUACAAGUUACAAUGUUAUAAGCACCCUGAUUGUUUUUCAUGUACACUAUUUCCAGCCACCUUGCUUGAGCUUAGAUUUGGUGGAACCUGUGACUGCAUCUCAGCAAAGCUCUCUAACUCUCAAUAAAAUGGGUUCAGGAAUCGGCAUUGAAGUAACAUUUUUUCGGGAAUUUAUCCCUUUAUUUGAAGAUAUCUGUGCAAGGCUAGCUUUCUGUAGAUUUCUCCAUUUACCCUUGAGAUCAACAGAGGUGCGAUACGAAUAGGAUGCAAAUGCAAGCCGUUUGAUCUCAGACCACCUUCCAGCCUCAUACCUAGAUACACCCUGAACUAGCUUCAUAACCUCAGAGAGAGUCCAAGCUAGAUGAUGUUUCCUUCUAAUUCCACCUUUGGAUGUGGGCAAAGAAACUACAUUAUCGUCUGAAUCCCCAGUUGAAUCUACUUGUUUCAGCACCUUAUGGCCCUUGACUGCACCUGUUGCUGAGAACUGUAUAUCUUUGUCUGGUACACCUAGGAACCUUUGCUGAACCUGUGCAGGGGCAGAUUGCACUUUCUCAUCAUUAUCUUGUAGAAAAUUAUGUGCACCAAGUGCCUCCUUUACCAGUGUAACUGUCAUGCCCAUCCUACUUGGAUUGAACUUCAGAAGAGCCAUGAAAUUUUUCCGCGGACGGCUUCCUCGAACCCGAGCACGUAGGCUAGAUAGGCACUAAUAGCUAUCAGCUUUCAAUUACUUAUGACCUGCGCACUUGGAAAUCCUAUCAAUGCAAAACGUCCGUGGCCAUAUUUUGUAACUUAAAAACCAUCUCCUCCACCGCUAGAACCCUGAUUCAAAAAGGCAACAGUAACCAAAUCUUCGAAAAAUCUAAAAGCAGUGGAAAUAAGCAUUAAAAAAACAAGAUAAUAACAAGAGCAGCAAAGUACAGUGAAAAUAUAUAAUUAAUACAAUCCACAAUAUGCCAUCAGCUAGAAAAAUCAACUCAACCACAGAUAGGAAAGGACAGAAAUGCACCAAAUUUGAGCAGUUUUGAAACUUCCCAGACAACCACAAUCAUAGUAUGUGUACCAAGACAAGAACUUACAAAGACAUGUUAAAUGCCAAGUAGCACCAACUCAGGUGGCUCAACUCCAACCAAUACACCUAAAUUGUACUAAAUCUACUGAGAACCUGUAACAAUUAUUGAAGAAUCACAGAAUUACACUAGCCCUGUUGCUGUCUAACAAUAACUGAGGAAGAAUUUGUUAUUCUUAAACAACUGAUACUCACUAAAGCUGUAAGACAAGCAUGAACUUUAAGAUCAGAAUUUAUGGAGGUAGGUCCCAUUACAAAUAGAAUCUCUAGUAGCUACUGUCUGAAAUGCAUACAAAGAGAAUGAUUUGGUAAAAUUUAGCAACCAAAAAGGUAGUCACUGCAUGCUAGCAUAACCACCAUAUUUUUCACAUGCCACUACCAUCUCAAACAUCAACAAAUGCAGAGGAAAUAAAAGAGUUGCAUACCUUAGGAGGCUCCAACAGUUGUGUCCUUAGCUUUGCUAUCUU
This 2065-nucleotide unclassified non-coding RNA is filed under the name Hevea brasiliensis (rubber tree). The record is from RNAcentral. Lineage: Eukaryota; Viridiplantae; Streptophyta; Magnoliopsida; Malpighiales; Euphorbiaceae.